RNAcentral lists this transfer RNA (70 nucleotides) under Shinisaurus crocodilurus (Chinese crocodile lizard). RNAcentral describes it as "tRNA-Tyr". The record is from RNAcentral. Lineage: Eukaryota; Metazoa; Chordata; Lepidosauria; Squamata; Shinisauridae.
UGGAAAGAAGAGGAAUUAAACCCCUGUUAAUAGGUCUACAGCCUACCGCUAAGCACUCAGCCACCUUACC